UGCAAGUCCAGCACAGCGUCCGCGAUAACUGUCAGUCCCUUUAUUAUUAAUAUAAUUUUCUUUGCCUUAUUUUAAUAUAUAUUAACCCUUAAUUAACAACUGAGUUUGCAUUUGCCAAAUGUAGCACAAUGCCUCUAAAGCACAGAUUAAAGAAACAGCAAGAAGGGAACUACAGCAGGCAGCCCAGGAGGAGAUCAGGGGUUUCUCAUCAAAUCAUCGCUCCACCGACCUGCUGGGCCAAAAAAAAGGGACGCAUCAAUUUUACUUCCACAUCAGUUCACGUGGAUGGGAAUCCAUUUACAUAAUAAGCAAAACGAGGCCAUGUAAAGCUGGUGAAGCUGUUUAAGGACACAGCCUCCAUCGCAGUCCAGAGACAUCAUCAAACGGUGGCAAUGCUGUGAGAAGAUUUGUACAUUUGUGGUUGUGAUUUCUUAAGCAUCCACUUCCUGUUCUUCUGUUAGUCAGAAAUGGUCUGACUACAUUUUUUAAGGCGCAACAUGCCUUGUGACUCUAUGAGGAAGUAAUGUUUUAUAGAAAAGGAUAAAACAGAUUUUGGAAUAGAGCACUGCUUUUUAAAUUAUAUUUUAAUUGCCCCAAAGUGGCUGUAAUUUAGAUUAAAAAAAAAAAUAAAAAUCAAAUGGCAAUGUAAAAACAAUGACUAUGAAGGGGGGGUGUCACUGACAGCGAUUUCUGGUUCCCGCCCACGAUUCUCUUUCUGGGCAACUACAGCUAUUUUCAGUUAAAAAAUAAAAUCUCUAAAAACCUACAGUAGACCAACUGCUCAUCACCAAAGAGCUGACAGAUGUGUUAAGGGGCCAGUUGCUGAACAUUUGUAAAGCAUUUCGCUGAAGUACCAGAGAUUUCCCUCAGGAGUUGACUGAAACCAAAUUCAAUGAGCAAAAAUGUUAAUAUUUAAAUUACUGUACAAGCAGGAGGCACCUAAUGAAUAAUUAUGAAGCUCUUAAAGUAUCAGACAGAUAAAUAAGGAACUUUUUGACAGCUAGGUUUCAAACAGUUCCUUUGUACAAACUGAAAGUCUGCCUGUACAUUGAAAGCAAAACAAAUUUUAAUAAUGCCAAUUAAGGCUUUUAGCGCCAGGCAAAUUCCUGUAUUUGUUUCAGAGUUUUGAGAAAGAAUUGUGCAUCAAAAGCACAAGUCUUUUUGAAAGCCUAUGUUCGACACCGCAGACUUAAGGCGAUAAUGUAAAUCUUUGCUUUUGAAAUGCAUGUUUGGGGAUUUGAUCAAAAGAAGACCGUGCCAAACAGAAGAAAACAACCAAAGACACAAGUUGUAAUCUGAAGCUCCUUCCUCCUUCCAGAGGUGCAUUUGGCUGCAUUUAUUUUGUAGUGAAACUCUAAUGUGUCCCUACAAGGAAGCAAAGGGAAAAAUAUGUCAUGAAUGCAGGAUGUGGGCGUCCUUUUUUUAAUCUUGCCCUUUGCUCUUUUGCAAGUCGCUGUUGACUUUGUGCUCCAUUGGAACAGCCAUGGCAUAAAUAUUAGUUCUUUAAUCAUUUGUCUGCUAGCUCUUGCUAAACAAAUGUGUCACAUGACUGGCACAAAGACCAAUAAUAACUGGCCCUUAAACCUUCUAGAUGAAAUGGCCCUGAAGUAAGAAAAUCUCAGCGCAGUGGUGAGCUGAACACACAUGACAGGCAUGACUGGAAGCAAAGCUAAAAAGCAAAGUCCUGUGAUUUUCCACUUGUGUUCCAAUUGGCUUUUUUUUGUUAAGUGUAAACAAGGUAUUUGUUUCUGUUGGUCUUAAUGCCCCAUCCACCACCCCCCAGUUCUUGCAUCUCUGAGACUGAAAAGGCAUCAUUAGACCCAUCAGUGAACAGCUUUGUUAUGCCCAUGCUUCAUUGGCAAGGUUUUCCAACAUCACCAUAACAGCUUUUAUGACAUGUGACCAUUAUGCACCCUGUGGCUAUUUAAGAUAAGAUAAGAUAAGAUAAGAUAACCUUUAUUAGUCCCACACGUGGGA
Maylandia zebra (zebra mbuna) is the source of this 1977-nucleotide long non-coding RNA. RefSeq lists it as uncharacterized. The record is from RefSeq and is a predicted model, not a curated record. NCBI's taxonomy places the organism in Eukaryota, Metazoa, Chordata, Actinopteri, Cichliformes, Cichlidae.